GACGAACGCUGGCGGCGCGCUUAACACAUGCAAGUCGAGCGAGAACCUGGGCUUCGGCCCUGGGGACAGCGGCGAACGGGUGAGUAACACGUGGGUAAUCUGCCCUUGACAUCGGGAUAGCCCGGGGAAACCCGGAUUAAUACCGAAUAGCCUCCGGAGCCUUCGGGCGCCGGAGAAAAGGUAGCUUCGGCCUCUGGUCGAGGAUGAGCCCGCGGCGGAUUAGCUUGUUGGCGGGGUAACGGCCCACGAAGGCGACGAUCCGUAGCUGGUCUGAGAGGACGAUCAGCCACACUGGGACUGAGACACGGCCCAGACUCCUACGGGAGGCAGCAGUGGGGAAUCUUGCGCCAAUGCGGGAAACCGUGACGCAGCGACGCCGCGUGGGGGAAGAAGGCCUUCGGGUUGUAAACCUCUUUCAGGAGGGACGAAGCCACUCGGGUGAAUAGCCCAGAGGGUGACGGUACCUCCAGAAGAAGCCCCGGCUAACUACGUGCCAGCAGCCGCGGUAA
Molecule: ribosomal RNA, 509 nt
Filed under: uncultured bacterium
Lineage: Bacteria
Description: partial 16S ribosomal RNA
Rfam family: Bacterial small subunit ribosomal RNA
Source: RNAcentral